AGUGAACGCUGGCGGUAGGCCUAACACAUGCAAGUCGAACGGCAGCACAGUAAGAGCUUGCUCUUACGGGUGGCGAGUGGCGGACGGGUGAGGAAUACAUCGGAAUCUACUUUUUCGUGGGGGAUAACGUAGGGAAACUUACGCUAAUACCGCAUACGACCUACGGGUGAAAGCAGGGGAUCUUCGGACCUUGCGCGAUUGAAUGAGCCGAUGUCGGAUUAGCUAGUUGGCGGGGUAAAGGCCACCAAGGCGACGAUCCGUAGCUGGUCUGAGAGGAUGAUUCGGCAAAAUGGGACCUAGAAACCGGUCAGAACCCUAACGGAGGCAGGAGGUGGGAAUAAUUGAAAAAUGGCGGAAGGCCUAAUCCGCCAUACCGCGGUGGGGAAGAAAGGCCUUCGGUUUGUAAGCCCCUUUUUUUGGGAAAAAAAGCCGCCGGGUUAAACCCCGGCUGUUCGGACGUACCCAAAGAAUAAGCACCGGCUAACUUCGUG
RNAcentral lists this ribosomal RNA (491 nucleotides) under uncultured bacterium. Its description in RNAcentral is "partial 16S ribosomal RNA". It matches the Rfam family "Bacterial small subunit ribosomal RNA", at positions 29 to 507 of the family's 1533-position model. The record is from RNAcentral.